Mauremys reevesii (Reeves's turtle) is the source of this 191-nucleotide long non-coding RNA. RefSeq lists it as uncharacterized. Lineage: Eukaryota; Metazoa; Chordata; Testudines; Geoemydidae. The record is from RefSeq and is a predicted model, not a curated record. The transcript is spliced from 3 exons.
GGAGUUCAGUGUGUCCACCAGCAAACUGCAGGGUACCACACUUCUCACCCAGGCUAUUCCGGAAGAAAACACUAUCCAAAUCCUGUGCACUGACAUCCUGCAAUGUCUGGACACCUCAGUCACUGGAAUGACCCAAGUGUUAUGGCCAAGGCUUCUCGAAUAUGUGGUGCCAGCUCAGUACACUGGUACUU